Long non-coding RNA from Nanorana parkeri, 368 nucleotides. RefSeq lists it as uncharacterized. Lineage: Eukaryota; Metazoa; Chordata; Amphibia; Anura; Dicroglossidae. The transcript has 2 exons. The record is from RefSeq and is a predicted model, not a curated record.
UUGAUAUUAAUUAUUUUUACUAUUCAUAAAGGUAUUUGACACCUCGGACCUUCCCGGAGGCGUUGUGAAUAUUCUUACUGGUGGUCGUGACCAUUUAGCCAAAUACCUAGUGGAGCAUCAAGAUGUACAAGCCAUGUGGUACUAUGGAUCUGAACAGGGUUCCAAAUUUGUGGAGUGGUCUUCUGCUGACAACUGUAAACGGACCUGGGUCAACUAUGGCCUUACCAGAGAGUGGGAGGAUACCCAACAAGGAGCUGGAGAAGAGUUCCUGUAUCAUGCCACACAGUGCAAAAAUAUCUGGAUUCCUAUGGGGGAAAUUUUCGCCAACUGACACCAAUUAAUGUACUUUUGCCCCCAUACAUUCUUAU